This 71-nucleotide transfer RNA is filed under the name Marmota monax (woodchuck). RNAcentral's name for it is "tRNA.Val". It matches the Rfam family "tRNA". From Rfam's summary of the family: Transfer RNA (tRNA) molecules are approximately 80 nucleotides in length. Their secondary structure includes four short double-helical elements and three loops (D, anti-codon, and T loops). Further hydrogen bonds mediate the characteristic L-shaped molecular structure. tRNAs have two regions of fundamental functional importance: the anti-codon, which is responsible for specific mRNA codon recognition, and the 3' end, to which the tRNAs corresponding amino acid is attached (by aminoacyl-tRNA synthetases). tRNAs cope with the degeneracy of the genetic code in two manners: having more than one tRNA (with a specific anti-codon) for a particular amino acid; and 'wobble' base-pairing, i.e. permitting non-standard base-pairing at the 3rd anti-codon position. The record is from RNAcentral. Lineage: Eukaryota; Metazoa; Chordata; Mammalia; Rodentia; Sciuridae.
GGGGUUGUAGCUCAGUGGUAGAGUACUCGCCUCACAUGAGUGAGGCCCUGGGUUCAAUCCUCAGCACCACA